CCAUGCGUCUUUCCUUCGGCCCCGAGCAGCCGCGCCGCCGGAACUUGCGAACCCCGCCGCCACCUCGACUCUUCCGCGUCCGGUGCGACGCCGGCACAUCCAUCGCAUGCCGGUGAGCUCCCCAUCGAGCAGUAGCUGCCGCGCCGCCGGAACUUGCGAACCCCGCCGCCACCUCCACUCUUCCGCGUCCGGUGCGACGUCGGCGCAUCCGUCGCAUGCCGGCGAGCUCCCCAUCGAGCAGUAGCUGCCGCGCAGCCCACCUACUUUGCCUUUUCCCGUCCUUCCCUACACUUCUCUCACCUCUCUCUGCCUCGCAUCCACGGGGACCCCGGGACGCCGCCGGCACGCGGAAAUACGCCGCCCCAACUGGAUCGAUGCCCUGCUCCAUCGCCUGCUCUCCUACCAUCCGUCCUCACCCCGCCGCCACCUCGACUCUUCCGCAUCGGGUGCGACACCGGCGCAUCCCUCGCAUGCCGGGACCCGAGGCACCGCUGGCACGCGGAACGAUGCCGCCCCAGCUGGAUCGACGCCCUGCUCCAUCGCAUGCUCUCCCGCCGUCCGUCCUCAUCUCGAAUCGAUCAUGCCGGCAGCUGUCAUUGCCAGAUCCUAGCUUGGCCGCCUGCUGAAAGAUCCAGCGCCUUUGUGCCUCUCACCGUCGAGGGAGGUAGGAAUGACGGAGCCGUGCAUGUGUUGGCGCCCAUGUGGUGCGUGCUGAGCCACCGCCUUGCGUAGCGGCUAUAGUCCUACGGCGCGCCCUACCUCGAGCAACACACAUGGGUGGCGGCUGAGACGUCUGAGGAGCUUCAGCAGGAGGUGGUGAUCCAGUGGCACUCCUUCCAGUACAACACUAACCUAUGCAAAGUGGCCCUUUAUUUCCCCUGCCCAGCUCCAAUCUUUGAUCCGUCCAUGCUUGAGGUAAUAUGUACAGAGAACGAGGCUGCCGAGCCAAAUUUGUUGAACGAGGCUGUGAAGUUUGAGGUAAUAUUGCUGCUACCUUCGUUUUGUUUUUUGGUGAUGGUCACCUCUGUAUCAACUCAACAGGUAGUAUCUAUCUGUUAGUGCUAUUUCUGCAAUUUUGUAAGCCAGAUUUGUGCCAAGUGCAUUGCAUAAUAUAUCUCUAAUAGGUCCAUUGCUAUUUCUGAGAUCUUCCAUCAAUGUUUAUUACAACAGAAAAAUGGUCCUUAUCACAUAUAUAGUAUGCACUGGCAACUUAUAUAUACGAUGGUUGAUAAAAAUUACUUCAGGGUAUCCAUUCUGCUAUAUUUUAGAUACUCAACAAAAUUUGUGACAUCUAAUCUGGUAGAGAAAAUAGUAUGAUACAUUCUUUUUUCUUUUGCGAAUUCAGUCCAAGAUAUUCUUUUCUUACCUACAGAUAAUUUCGUAUGGAUGACUUCAACAUGAUUUAGUUUCCAGCCUGUAUAGAUUAGUCUUAUUAUGAGCUACCUAUAAUUUUUUUAGGCUUUUAGUUUUAGUUAUGGUGAUGGACUGUGCACAUGAUUCAAUAAAGAACUGCAGCAAGCAUUAAUUUUUACAUGCGUGAAGCAUUUUACAAUAAAUUUCCUAUUAUUCAUCAGCUAGCUGAAUGAACGGAGACUGUACGACAAGGCGAACAAACACACUAAAUAUCACGAGUCAUAUUAAUUCCUAGCUAUUUUUACAAUUGCAUUUCACUGGAAGUUUCCUGUUGAUUAUAAUAAUGUUCACCAUAGAUAUCUAAAGUUUGUGGUUCAAUUUAUGAUCUGCAUUGGUCUAGAUACUAUUGCUGGAAGUUGACGUUGACACCCAGUAAGAUCCUCCUGGAGCUGCCUUCUCUGAGCAUAUCUCCAAUCAAGCAUCUACUAAUUCACAUCGUAAAUGUUAAAUUUGUGAUAGGCUUACUAUAGACAAAUGUUUCUGAAUAUUAUGGUAUAUCAGAUGUUACAGAGUAAAUUAUCAAUUUACUCUACAUGAUACAUUAAUCUUUUUUGUUUUUGUUUCUAUUCUAUUUAUGGUGGAAAAAUGGUUUCUUCACCAUUUGGUUGAUGUUAAAUUAAAACAUUUUUGUAUGCCUAUCGAAUAUAUGUUAGUUCAACCGAUAUUCCAAAUUACAUUUUUAUAUUGUGCUGCUUAUUACAGUUUUUUCCUCCAAGGAAACAACACCAAGGCACCCCAUGAGUAUUUGUCAGUUCAACUGAUAUUCCACUUUUGCAUAUUGUAGUACUUCUAUAGUUAUUUCAUCUCAGGAAACAACACCAAGGCAAUAUAUUUUUACCCUGUUUAUAACAGCCUAAUUAUUUCCAACAAUAGAGAUUGAGGCUAUCUUAUUAAAUGUUCCUUUUUGCACGCUGUUGAUCAGCUACAUAAUAUCCUUCUGAUAUAUGACUAAUUUGAAAGAGAAACAAAAAACUUUUCCUAAACUAUGAAAGACAUCAUUAUUCUGAUUAAAAUCAUUCUCACAGGUGACGCCAUGGCACCAUCCAUGAGAGUAUUAAGGAUCCCGAGGGAAAGAGUUGCGAUGGGCCGAUGGCGCAUCUAUUCACACCAUGGACAUUCAUUGCCUGCUACUCAUGCGACCACUCUGAAGUUGCAGGUACAUGUAAUGCGAUGGUCUGACACGAGUGCAAUGCUUGCUUGUUUGGAGUUCUUCUGCUUCUUCUUCUUCGAUCAAGGGAUAGGUUCUGGGUCGGGAGCCUGGGAUUAGCAGGGUGGAUGUCAUUCUUCUUCUUUUUCGUCUAAUUUCAUCCAUAGUCGGAUCCUGCUCUUCUGUAUGAUGAUUGCUAUGUUUUGAUGAACUAUUGUAUUCAGGUUAUAGCUUGU
This is a long non-coding RNA of Triticum dicoccoides, 2796 nucleotides long. RefSeq lists it as uncharacterized. The record is from RefSeq and is a predicted model, not a curated record. The transcript has 3 exons. NCBI's taxonomy places the organism in Eukaryota, Viridiplantae, Streptophyta, Magnoliopsida, Poales, Poaceae.